Vidua chalybeata is the source of this 540-nucleotide long non-coding RNA. RefSeq lists it as uncharacterized. The transcript has 2 exons. NCBI's taxonomy places the organism in Eukaryota, Metazoa, Chordata, Aves, Passeriformes, Viduidae. The record is from RefSeq and is a predicted model, not a curated record.
UUAGCACAGUCGAUUAGCAAGUCAAGUAGCAGAGAAACUCCUAACUUGGCAUCAGUCCCACCUCGAUGGGUGUCCCCAAACCAAGGAACCAACCUCCUUUUUGAAGUGCAAUGAGCUCUACAGGACCAACUGAAGAAUAACUUUCAAAGGAGUCCCAAAGACCAGACAUUCAGAGAACAAAAACUAUUAUGGCCUUAGUUUGGAAGAAAAGAGCUCAGUAGUAGAAAAGGCAAGGCACAGCCUCGUUACAAGGCAGCUCCUCAGCUAUGAAGCACUGGCACACUCAGUUGGCAAAUGGGCAGGGUUUUCAAGUACCCCAAGAAAUAACUCCACGGGGCCUGAAAGAAGUUUUGACCACUCUGUUUGUAAGUGGACUCCAAUAAAGGAGAGAGAAUGAGCUGCUCUUCUCUCCCAUCUCCAGGAGCUGCUGCCAGCUGGCUCUGGUGGGUUGUCCAGCACUCACUGGGACUGGCUGAACCCCCUGCUCCAGGGCUGAGCUCAGCUCUCUUCCCAGAUCCUGCAUUAAAGAUUUGGAGAAUU